AUCCGUAACUUCGGGAAAAG
RNAcentral lists this small nuclear RNA (20 nucleotides) under Arabidopsis thaliana (thale cress). Its description in RNAcentral is "snRNA_02036". The record is from RNAcentral. Lineage: Eukaryota; Viridiplantae; Streptophyta; Magnoliopsida; Brassicales; Brassicaceae.